CCAAUGAUUCUCAUCCAGAUUUUGCAGAUAUCCACUCACUGCCCUAGUGAGUAUACCAUAUCUGAUCUCAUACAUAGUGCAUAUGAUAGAAUAAAUUCUACUCAUAAACACUCUAUGUACGUAGACUAGGAUAACUUAAGCAGUCUCUUAGAUCUAUCUCUAUAGAUCUUCAUCUCUAGGAUGAGGAAUACUUUUUCAAGUCCUUUAUGAAGAACAAUGAUAACA
Molecule: long non-coding RNA, 225 nt
Filed under: Elaeis guineensis (African oil palm)
Lineage: Eukaryota; Viridiplantae; Streptophyta; Magnoliopsida; Arecales; Arecaceae
Description: long non-coding RNA (EGUI_LNC046398)
Source: RNAcentral